UACAGAGGGUGCGAGCGUUGUCCGGAAUCACUGGGCGUAAAGGGUGAGUAGGUGGCUAGGUAAGCGUGUGGUGAAAGUCCGGGGCUCAACCCCGGAUCUGCCGUGCGAACUGCUUGGCUUGAGCAAUGUAGAGGCAGGUGGAAUUUCGGGUGUAGCGGUGGAAUGCGUAGAUAUCCGAAAGAACACCAGUGGCGAAGGCGGCCUGCUGGGCAUUUGCUGACACUGAAUCACGACAGCGUGGGGAGCAAACAGG
RNAcentral lists this ribosomal RNA (253 nucleotides) under uncultured Gemmatimonas sp. Its description in RNAcentral is "partial 16S ribosomal RNA". It matches the Rfam family "Bacterial small subunit ribosomal RNA", at positions 524 to 776 of the family's 1533-position model. The record is from RNAcentral. Lineage: Bacteria; Pseudomonadati; Gemmatimonadota; Gemmatimonadia; Gemmatimonadales; Gemmatimonadaceae.